This 77-nucleotide transfer RNA is filed under the name Betaproteobacteria bacterium TMED156. RNAcentral's name for it is "tRNA-Thr". It matches the Rfam family "tRNA". Rfam says of the family: Transfer RNA (tRNA) molecules are approximately 80 nucleotides in length. Their secondary structure includes four short double-helical elements and three loops (D, anti-codon, and T loops). RNAcentral also lists the same sequence under 1 other name. Lineage: Bacteria; Pseudomonadati; Pseudomonadota; Betaproteobacteria. The record is from RNAcentral.
GCCCGAUUAGCUCAGGGGUUUAGAGCAGCCGCCUUGUAAGCGGCAGGUCGUCAGUUCGAAUCCGACAUCGGGCACCA